CCUCGACUCUCCCAAAUCCUCCCCCGGGGUUUCCAUGGUUACGGUAAACAAGCCUCGUGGUUGCGGGAACCACAAAAGGGUGAUGGGCGCCCCUUUGUCACUGUUCCACAAGCUUCUGAAUUUUGGUAUUUCCCUCCUGAGCCCAGCUUGGUGUUCUUCUGCUUCUUUAGCUGCCUCUGGAUAGAGAAGGUAGGUGUGGGCAGAAAAGGGGAGACCUGAGACCGAGACCAGGAGAGGGGGCAGGGGUCGCUGCGGGCGCCAGGAGAAUGCAGCCACCUAUCCCCCUCUUUGCCCAGAGCCAGGGCUCUUAUCCCUGCCCCGCACCCACCCGACCAGUUCAAGCCGAGGCUCUACAUGUGUCACAGUGGGAUGUUUGUGACAUCAUGCAGUCCCCUCCCA
Molecule: long non-coding RNA, 399 nt
Organism: Phyllostomus discolor (pale spear-nosed bat)
Lineage: Eukaryota; Metazoa; Chordata; Mammalia; Chiroptera; Phyllostomidae
Exons: 2
Source: RefSeq, a predicted model, not a curated record